Pimephales promelas (fathead minnow) is the source of this 238-nucleotide non-coding RNA. NCBI's taxonomy places the organism in Eukaryota, Metazoa, Chordata, Actinopteri, Cypriniformes, Leuciscidae. The record is from RefSeq and is a predicted model, not a curated record.
AUUCUAUUUUUCUGUCUGAUUCAGGUUGCCAGUGCUCCAUUGCACUGUACAUUAUAUGUGGACUUCUGGCGCUUUUCUUAAUUCUCAUUACUGCAAUCGAUGUGCUCAAAUACAAAAGCCUAUUAAAAAGACUUCAAAAGUUUGAAGGCAUGAGAGAAUCCAUGAUGUAUGCGACCCUCCACAGGACCAGUGACUCUGUAUACAAUGUAAUACAGACGAGGGGUAGUGGAACUGAAGA